AUGGUGCGCUGGACGGAGAUGUGCAAGCCUAAGGACCAUGGCGGCCUGGGCAUCAUGUCAUCCAAACGGAUGAACAUUGCCCUAUUGACCCGGUGGGUGUGGCGCAUAGCCAAUGGGGACGGUGGCCUAUGGCUCCAUAUCAUCCGAAACAAAUACCUAGGUGGCCGACCCCUUGCGUUUUGUCAGCGGUCCGGUGGCUCCCAGUUCUGGCAAUCCGUCAUCUAG
RNAcentral lists this ribosomal RNA (225 nucleotides) under Triticum aestivum (bread wheat). RNAcentral describes it as "partial small subunit ribosomal RNA". Lineage: Eukaryota; Viridiplantae; Streptophyta; Magnoliopsida; Poales; Poaceae. The record is from RNAcentral.